CCGCCGCCCUUGGGCAGGCCGCCUUCGGCCAGCUUCAUGCGCAGCCGGGUGAUCUUGUCCUUCGGCACCUGGAUGACGGCGCCGUCGUUCUUCAUUUCAUAGGGAAUGCCCUGGCGUUCCAGAUCCUUGAUGAUCGCCGAGGAGUCUUCAUAGGUGAGGUCGGUGAAGAGGGUGGCCAUCGGCGGCGUGGUGACGCGCAUGAUGACAAAGCCGAAGAAACCGACGAGAGCCAGCGUUACGGCGGG
Molecule: unclassified non-coding RNA, 245 nt
Filed under: Hevea brasiliensis (rubber tree)
Lineage: Eukaryota; Viridiplantae; Streptophyta; Magnoliopsida; Malpighiales; Euphorbiaceae
Source: RNAcentral